This 444-nucleotide ribosomal RNA is filed under the name uncultured Rhodoplanes sp. Its description in RNAcentral is "bacterial SSU rRNA". It matches the Rfam family "Bacterial small subunit ribosomal RNA", at positions 335 to 797 of the family's 1533-position model. The record is from RNAcentral. Lineage: Bacteria; Pseudomonadati; Pseudomonadota; Alphaproteobacteria; Hyphomicrobiales; Nitrobacteraceae.
GUCCUACGGGUGGCUGCAGUGGGGAAUAUUGGACAAUGGGCGCAAGCCUGAUCCAGCCAUGCCGCGUGAGUGAUGAAGGCCUUAGGGUUGUAAAGCUCUUUCGUCAGGGAAGAUAAUGACGGUACCUGAAGAAGAAGCCCCGGCUAACUUCGUGCCAGCAGCCGCGGUAAUACGCAGGGGGCUAGCGUUGCUCGGAAUCACUGGGCGUAAAGCGCACGUAGGCGGCUUUCUAAGUCAGGGGUGAAAUCCCGGAGCUCAACUCCGGAACUGCCUUUGAUACUGGAAAGCUUGAGUUCGGGAGAGGUGAGUGGAACUGCGAGUGUAGAGGUGAAAUUCGUAGAUAUUCGCAAGAACACCAGUGGCGAAGGCGGCUCACUGGCCCGAUACUGACGCUGAGGUGCGAAAGCGUGGGGAGCAAACAGGAUUAGAUACCCCUGUAGUCCC